Molecule: long non-coding RNA, 1260 nt
Filed under: Phasianus colchicus (ring-necked pheasant)
Lineage: Eukaryota; Metazoa; Chordata; Aves; Galliformes; Phasianidae
Description: lncRNA (ENSPCLG00000004841.1)
Source: RNAcentral
GCUAAAUUUCUCUUUCAUGCAGCAAGACACCCUGCAGCAGCCAUCCAACCCUUGCAGCACUCUAUCUGCCAGCCAGCCUCCCCAUACCACACACAGUGCUUUUAGACAACGUGCUGAGCAGGCAAAGCCUGGGAAUUCAGGGAUUAGUUUCUUGCUAAAGUUCAAGGGCAGCUCAGGGAAACACUCCCAGGUGAGAUCUGAUAUGGCAAAGCUGUGCCUGCUUAAAUAUGAGGAUUUAAAGGGGAAGAAAAGCUAGGGGGAGUGGUGUGAGAAGAGGAGAUGUGGAGUGUAAGCCUGCCUGUGUGUCGCCUUUCAAGUGAUUUCCCUUGCUGCUCUCGCUAACACGACUUUAUCCCUGCCGGAGAGGUGAGCCGGGGAUAUGUUGAAUACAAAAAGAGAGAGGAAGGGUAAUCAAACACCUGCUCCCACUAAAACAAAGCCUUUUCUCUUCACAGGCUGUUGAGCAUUGAUGGGGAGAGGUGAAGGCCUGCACCAGCCCUUGCCCGGCGCUGGGCCCAGCCAUUGGAGCAGGGCUGUAAAAGCAGAAAAAUGAGCGUGCAUUGUGCUUAGGCUGCAGUCAUUCUGCCUAAAUUGGGGAACAUUCUGCAAAUAUUUCAAGUCAAAUACUACUGGUGCUGUCACUGCUGCCUCUCAGUCACUGGGCUACAGCAGCCAUAGGUUGGUCUCGUUGACUCCAGCUGGGCAGCCUCCCGUUUGGACAAGCAAGACUACCAAAAGACUGAAAAUUGGCCCUGUGAAUAAGCUCAUGGCCACAUACAGGAGUGGGGAGCUCUGCCUGUCUGCCUCCUGGCUGCAGAAGCAUUGCAAAUCUGCUCACAGUACAACCAUCUUCUGAUCGAGUAACAGCAGAUGUGCCAUAAUCUACAAGAGCAUGGAUGGGUGGAUGGAUGGAUGGGCAGUGGCUGUACUGCCAGCCUUCUCCCAGAACAUUCUGUUUUCCUCUUGGUUCUCACGUGGCAUUGUGGCAGUCACAGCUUCCAAACAAGACCAUGGGCAUUUCUUGCUCUCCGGAAGGACUCAUCUCAUGCAGAAUUCUCCAUGUGGGAGGGUCAUUUCUCUGGCUAUGAGCAGGAGCAUCUGGCCCUCUGGCCAUUGCCUUCAUCAGGCCCACAGCUUGGAAGAAGAAUUUUCUCCAUAUCAGUUGUUAGGACCAGCUGCUCCACAAAUAAGAUUAUAGAUCAUAUGGAGCACAGUGGCAUCAGCUCUCUCCCAUAUCAGAAACAUAAAAAUCCCAUCUGA